GAUGAACGCUGGCGGCGUGCCUAAUACAUGCAAGUCGAGCGAACAGAUGAGGAGCUUGCUCCUCUGACGUUAGCGACGGACGGGUGAGUAACACGUGGAUAACCUACCUAUAAGACUGGGAUAACUUCGGGAAACCGGAGCUAAUACCGGAUAAUAUAUUGAACCGCAUGGUUCAAUAGUGAAAGACGGUUUUGCUGUCACUUAUAGAUGGAUCCGCGCCGCAUUAGCUAGUUGGUAAGGUAACGGCUUACCAAGGCAACGAUGCGUAGCCGACCUGAGAGGGUGAUCGGCCACACUGGAACUGAGACACGGUCCCGACUCCUACGGGAGGCAGCAGUAGGGAAUCUUCCGCAAUGGGCGAAAGCCUGACGGAGCAACGCCGCGUGAGUGAUGAAGGUCUUCGGAUCGUAAAACUCUGUUAUUAGGGAAGAACAAAUGUGUAAGUAACUAUGCACGUCUUGACGGUACCUAAUCAGAAAGCCACGGCUAACUACGUG
Molecule: ribosomal RNA, 497 nt
Filed under: uncultured bacterium
Lineage: Bacteria
Description: partial 16S ribosomal RNA
Rfam family: Bacterial small subunit ribosomal RNA
Source: RNAcentral